UUGUUAAGAUUAUAAAUAAUAAUAAUAAUAAUAAUGAAUAUUUUUAUUAAAAUUAAUAAUUAUAAUAUUAAGAAAAUUUUGCAGAAACUGAGAAGCACACUAUCGUCUUCGAUAAAAUGCGUAGUUGAUAUCAAGGAAAUCACAUUCUUUUCUGCUGUGAUUGGUGAUAUGGGGAUAUCGUCAAUGAUUUCAAAGUAAUCUUCGGGUUUCAUUCAGUGGUUCACAAGGAUUGAUGGAAAGACUUGUGAGAGGUCCAGUUGAGUUCAAUAUCAUAUGCAUCCAUGUCAUUCAGAAUUCCCAUCAAAUAAUGUGUACAUUGCUUUUGUUUCUUCACUUUUUCCCCUUUAUUUGUUGUUAAUACGAUUGAGAAUCUUUCAAAUAUGAGUGAUUAUUCUGGUUUUCUUCAGUCACUAAAGAGAAACACAAAUUCCCAUUUAAAUCUAUUGGUCAAGAAAUAUGAGCUUGGCUAUUGGAGAUGCCAGCUAACAUGCAAUGAGAAGCAAGGAAGCAAAUCAAAUGCUGACUCAUUUCAACCAGACAAAAAAAGAAGUCGAGAUAUUAGUUCAAAAAAUAAAAGAUUGUUGAUUGAAAGUGAAGAUGCUCUUGAGCUCAAAUAUACAUGGGAAGAAUUACAAGAUAUGUUGACUCCACUUAACGCUUUGAAUCCAAGUAGUGUCACCAUUGAAGACCAAGAAUUUGAAGAAUAUGAAGAACCUCCUGUUUUUGGAAAGGGGAGUAUACUCACUGAACAGUGGGCCCAAUGUGAUAACUGUUCAAAAUGGCGAUGCUAAAUGGACAUGCCAAGAAAAUGUCUGGGAUCACAACAGGUCUGCUUGUGUUGCACCAGAUGAAUUACGCCCUAGAGAACUUGAUCACCUUCUUAGGGUGGCUAAAGAGUUUCACAAAUGGAGAAACUCCAUGAACCAAAAGCCAGCACCAGACCAAGACUAGGUGGUUUGAUCGAGAAAUUUUUUUAAGCAAACGGUUGUUGAUUCGAUUGAGCCUGUACAAGAUAAGGUGCUUGAUGCCCUAAUUGGCUACUUAAAAGCAGCGGAUGCUGAUGCUGGAAGCUUUUACCCACUUCGUCUUUAGUUUUUUUUAUUAUAAUUUGUCUUCCUACAUCAACAACAGUUCAUGCACAAUGAAUAUGAGGCUCCUAUAUUACCGAUUCAUCUUUAAUGAGUCAUUUUGUUAGUUUGCCAAGAAAGUUUGUGAUGCAAUUGUGGCAAAAUGCCUUAUUGGUGGCCAAAGGCAAUUGAGAAGGCACAUAUGGUGUCUAUGCUUUGGGUGGAGUUGGAAGCUAUGGAUACAUUCUUGCCUUCCUGGUAUGUUUAAUGUUCGAGUAUUGCGUGCAUUAAUUUGUAAAUGUUGUGAUUUUUCUUUAUUAGAAUGUCUGUUCAUAGGCUGCAAGAACAAAACAAUAAAAAACAAAGUUAUUGAACGAAACGUCCCAAAAAUACCAUACAAAAUUUUUUGUUUUUAAAACAUUACCAAAACCAUAAUAUCAACUAUCAUAUAAUAAAACCAUGAAUCGUGUGUCUCAAAAUGUCAUAGUAAAUGUAUCAAAUUAAAAUAAUGUCAAUAUCAUAUCAAAACAUCCAAACAAACACCUAGGAUAAAACUGUGGUGUGUGUGGUGCCAUCAUCCCGAGCUCUUGCUCUUGCUAGCGGAGGUACCUGAAACCAGAACUGAAACUGUAAGCAUGAAGCUUAAUGAGCUCCCCCAAACUACCACAUACCAUACAAUAACAUAUAAACACAUACUGGGCCUUGCCCACUUCAUCGGGCCCCGCCUGGUAUCGGACCGAAGUUCAGUAUACUUGGGUCCCGCCCACUGCAUCGUGCCCCACCCGGCAUUGGGCCUCGCCAGGCAUCGGGCCGAAGUCCGGAAUAACUUAUGCCCCGCCCACUGCAACAGGCCCCACCCGGCAUCGGACUGAAGCCCGGAACAUAUAGCACAUAACAUAACAUAACAUAACAUAACAUAACAUAACAUGCAUGAAUCACUAAGACAUCAAGCACACAUAACUACUUCUCGGGACCCUCCCAGCAUCAGACCAAAGUCUGGAACUACUAUCUAACCAGGUCGGCAUUGUGGCUGUAGACCCGUUCCUACUAGAAAGAAACUCACCUCGAAAAGUUGACUGCUGAACACCUGAGUAAAGAAUCCAUGAUUGCUGUUCCGACUACUCCCCGGCUAUCAUAAUCAAUUAAAACACUCAAUCAGAAUAUGGAUUCUUUUAUGGGUAAAAUGACUAUUUUACCCUUGCUAUGGUGUGGGUCACAAACACAGCCCAAAUCCUUAAUUCCUUCUAAGUCCAUCAAUGGCCCGCUAGAGGCCCACUGAUGGCCCAAUUUUCUACAUUGGGCCCAAAUCUCUUUAUUGGGCCCUACCCUAAGCCCAACACCGAUACUUGGACCAUAUUCACUAACUCCUGAUGGCCCACUAAGGCCCAAAGACCCUAAGUCCAAAGCACAACCCACAUUGAGGUGCCAAUGCUCGAAGCCCAAUCUGGCAGCGUACACGGGGUGUACUUCUAGGUACGCUGAGCGUACUAGCUGAUGGCUUGUACGUCGUACGUACCUCCUUCUAUGCCCAGUAUACAGCCCCGGUAAGCCAAUUUCCUAUUAAGUGCUUAAUAUCUCGAUUCAGAAGCUACAAACUCAGAUCCACGUCUUAUUAUAUGCCUUAAGCCAUAAAGUUGCUUACUUGAUGGCUUGGAUGAUUCACAAAAGAUUAAACUACUAAAAGCAACACCCUAACUCCAUGGGAAUGGCUAGAUCUCAUGCAUGGCCUCAUACAGCCCUUAAAGAUUGUAACCUUAAUCCUAAGGAGGUGUUUUGAGCCACAAGGAUGGCAAUCUCAAGCUCAAAAACGGAUCUAUAUGAUCAAGGUCCAACUUUUGCACCUACAAAAGGUCCAAAACUCCCAUAACUCUAUAUCUAGAAUGUGAGGAAGAAAGUUCAGUGCUUUAUUCCUUCUUUGGAUGACAAAGGGUGAGUUUAGUCCAAAUCUCUGAGCUCACCUUCUUCUCCAACCUUUUCUUUCCUUUUUCACCACCCUCUUUCACUAAAAACACUCACAAAGAGCAAUUUCACAAAAAUGAGAGAGUAAGGACGUAUUAUGGUUUUCUUGUGGGUGAGGAGGCUGAUAAGAAAUCAGGGGGAGGCUAUAAUGGGGUUUAUAUACCUCUUAAACCCCAAAAUUAGGGUUUUGUGUCUGAUCGCGUACGCUGGGCGUACCUUAUGGUACGCUGCACGCACACCUCUCAUGUCCCGCGAAUCCAAGGACGCUACGCGUCGCGUACGCUGGGUUACGCCCCGCGUACGGCUUAUGGGCAGCCUACAUCUCGGCCCAAGUUUCCUAAGUCCCAAUCCAAAAUGUCAAGUCCAACCAUAGUUUAAUAUCUUUUUAAAUUACACAAUUGGUUAAUAAAUACCUCAGAAGACGGAUGUUACAAUUCACCCCCACUUGAAUCAGACUUCGUCCUCGAAGUCUGCUGCUACUGUGUCUAAAAACAACUCUGAGUAAUGCUCUCUCAUCUCCUCCUCGGACUCCCACGUCCAUUCUGAACCCUUCCGGUGCUGCCACUGCACCUUCACUAGCUGAACUACCUUGUUCCUCAAGGCCUUCGUCUGCCGAUCCAAGAUCGUAAUGGGUUUCUCGAUGUAGUUCAGACUGAUGUCAACCUGAAUAUCCUCCAAUGGUACAAUUGUUGACUCGUCUACCAAACACUUCCGCAGCUGAGAUACAUGAAAAGUGUUGUGGAUCUGGCUGAGCUCUACCGGAAUAUCCAAACGGUAAGCAACCUGACCCACCCGGGCCAAAACCCUAAAGGGACCAAUGAACCUGAGGCCCAGCUUGGCCCUCUUCUGGAACCUGGUAACACCCUUCCAGGGUGAUACAUUCAGGAGGACCAUAUCACUCACCCGAAACUCCAAGUCCGAACGCCUCUUGUCGGCGUAAAUCUUCUACCGACUCUGAGCAGUCUGAAGCCGACUAUGGACCUGCUGGAUCAACUCUGUGGUCUUGAGUACCACCUCCGUUCUCCCAAUAACUCUCUGACCGACCUCACCCCAACAAAUUGGGGUCCUGCAUUUCCUCCCGUAAAGCAUCUCGAAGGGAGUACGAUCGAUACUGGCGUGAUAGUUGUUGUUAUACGAAAAUUCUGCUAACGGAAGAUACGUAUCCCAACUGCCACCGAAAUCUAGAACACAUGCCCGAGGCAUGUCCUCGAGAGUCUGAAUCGUCCUCUCGCUCUAUCCGUCCGUCUGUGGGUGGAAAGCGGUGCUAAAUUAGAGACGAGUACCCAUAUCUUCGUGGAACCGCUCCUAAAAUCUGGAAGUGAAACGGACGUCUUGGUCUGACACUACCGAAACAGGCACUCCAUUCCGUGCCACUACCUCGCACACGUAAAUAUCAGCCAAGUUCUCUGCUGAGAUGCUCUCCUAGAUUGGUAUAAAAUACGCGCUCUUGGUCAACUGAUCCACGAUGACCCACAUAGAAUCAACUCCACGUGCGUCCUGGGAAGCUUAGUAAUGAAAUCCAUAGUGAUGUCCUCCCAUUUUCACACGGGAAUGUCUAACGGCUGCAUCUUGUCGUGGGGUCUCUGGUGCUCCGCCUUGACCAUCCUGCAGGUCAAGCAUCUCCCCACGUACCAAGCUACAUCCCACUUCAUGCAGGGCCACCAAUAAUCGGGUCGAAGAUCUCUGUACAUCUUCGUCGCCCCUGGGUGGAUGGAGAACCGAGACUUGUGGGCCUCGUCCAUCAACACCUGUCGUACUCUGACCCAGUACGAUACACAAACUCUCCCAUGAAGGGUCAACAAUCCUCGACUGUCAUUGUGGAAGGAAGCUACUCGGCCCACGAUCCUCUCACACUUCUGCCUCUCCUCCAUCAGGCCCUCGACCCGUGUCUCUCUAAUCUGCUCCAGCAAUGGAGUAAUCACUAUCAUCCUCAAGCAUAUGUCUCUGAUCGGGGCCGCUACCGCCUUGCGGCUCAAGGCGUCUGCCUCUUCGUUGGGCUUGCCCAGGUGUUAAAGGAUCUCACAAUCAUAAUCCUUUACCACGUCUAACCACCGACACUACCUCAUGUUCAGAUUCGGCUGAUCCAUGAGGUACCUCAGACUCUUGUGAUCCAUGUAAAUGGUACAACGAACCCCAUAGACGUAAUGUCCCCAAAUCUUGAGGGCAAACACCACUGCCCUCAGCUCUAAAUCGUGUGUCGGAUAGUUAGCCUCAUGAGGCUUCAACUGUCUGGAGGUAUAAACUAUCGUAUGGCCUCGCUGCAUCAAAACUGCUCCCAUACUUGUGAUCGAAGCGUCACAGUAGACUACAAAGACAUCUACUCCCUCUGCUAGGGUAAGAAUUAGCGCCUCGCAUAGUCGUUGUCUGAGCGUCUCAAAUGUUGCCUGCUGCUCAAGUCCCAAACGAAACACCACCGACUUCUUAGUCAGUCGGGUGAGCGGAACUGCUAUCUUGGAGAAAUCCUGAAUGAAUCUCCUGUAAUACCCUGCCAAAUCUAGGAAGCUCCGAAUCUUAGAUGGAGACCUCGGGACCUCCCACUGUAUCACAACCUCUAUCUUAGCCGGGUCUACUAAUAUACCCUUCUGUUUGACGAGGCGUCCAAGGAACUGCACCUCGCGCAACCAGAACUCGCACUUGGAGAACUUUGCGAAAAGUCUCUCCCUCCUCAAUGCCUCUAGCACCUCUCUCAGGUGCUCCCCGUGUUGCUCCUGAGUCUUGGAAUAAACUAAGAUGUCAUCGAUGAACACUAUCACAGACCGAUCUAGCAUUGACCUGCAUACGCGGUUCAUGAGGUCCAUGAACGCGGCUGGAACGUUGGUGAGCCAGAACGGUAUCACCACGAACUCAUAAUGACCAUAGCGGGUCCUAAAAGCGGUCUUCUGAACAUCCACAUCCCUGAACUGCAUCUGGUGAUAUCCCGAGCGUAGAUCAAUCUUGGAAAACCAAGAUGCUCCCUCUAGCUGAUCGAACAGAUCAUUUAUCCUCGGGAGUGGGUAAUGGUUCUUCAUCGUUACCUUGUUCAGCUCCUGAUAGUCUAUACACAUGCGAUAUGUCUCGUCCUUCUUCUUCACAAACAAAAUUGGGGCUCCCCAUGGUGAACUGCUCGGCCUGAUUAAACCCUUGUCUAGCAGCUCCUACAGCUGUGUAGACAACUCCAUCAUCUCAGGAGGAGCCAACCGAUAUGGUGCCUUGGCUAUCGGAGCCGUACCCGGAACCAGGUCAAUCCUAAACUCAUCCUGUCUCUAAUGGGGUACUCCAGGUGUGACAUCCCCAAUUUUCACGGCCAGAAAAGACCGAUUUUGUUUAUGCUUUGUAAAAACCAGAGUACUUCAUUUCAUAAAAAUGUUGUGGAAUUUGUUCCCAGAAAAACACGAUAAAUACGUUAUCAAAACAUUUUCGAAGAAACGUAUUUUAUUCAUUUUAAAAUGUUUAGGAUGUCAUCAUCAAUACAGAAACAUAAGCAUAAACGGAACUUACAUUUAUGUACACUAGUGAUCUAAAUCUCUUUAAUCUCUCAGUGUAAUGUGACUUCAUAUCAACACAUGUGAUAUGAAUAAACUGAGUGGGUCAGGUUGGGAAACCUAGUGAGUACAUAGGGUUUUCAACCCAUAAUAAUAUAAUUAUUAUGUUUAAACAAUCAAACAAUCAACCCAAUUACCCAUCCCCAUUAUCUUCUUUACCCUUAAGGAUUUAUCCUAAGAGUCAUCUAUCCUGCAUUCGUUUAUUCCGAAGUCCCUUACUUCCAGGGUUAUAGGACUGGCACUAAAUCCAUAGCUGCCAAUGUUCGUUCGUAAAGCACUAAUUCCAUAGCUGCUAUAGUCUAUUCAUCGGGUCCAUAGCUACCAGUGCUUAUCUAAAAGGUACUAAGUCCAUAGCUACCAAUUGCUAACAGGUACUAAAUCCAUAGCUACUGGUGUUUGUCCAAUAGGCACAAAUCCAUAGCUGCCGAUGUUUAUUAGGCACUAAGUCUAUAGAUGCCAAUGUUUACUCACAUCAUCUUUUAUCUCUCAUCAUUCAUCUACCCAUGUCAUACCCAACAUAUUCGUAUAAAAUACGUAUACAUUUUAAAUCAUUUAAAACAUGUAUAAAACGUUCAUCCAGCAUAGACAACCGAAGCCAGCUGUUUCGCACUCAUCUCAGAAGGAUCAGACCAAAGUUACGCAUGGCGUAACUUCUUCGGAUGUGGGGCGUAAUAGCGAGGGUGGCAUGUUACUCAUCCGAAGCUGGUACCGAGUCAGCGAGGGAGGGUCUAGGUUGUGCCACGCCAUCGAUCCUUCAUCAGGUCUCGCAAUUUCAUGCUUCAACUUUAAAAAUUCAUAACUUUCGCGUACGAGUUCCGUUUUCAACGUUCUUUAUAUCCACGCGAAGGCGGGAACGUACUCUACAACUUUCGUUUAGACUAUGUCGGCUAAUUUUUGCUCUAUUUUAAAUUUUAUAUUAUUAACAGGCUAGGAUAGGAUUGGUCCGUUAAAUUCUCAUAACUUCUUCAUCCGACGUUCGUUUUCGCCCAUCUUUUUCUUGUUACACUACUCUUAAUGAGAUCUUCAAUUCUCGUUUAGGCUGUGUUGGCUAAAAACCGCUUGAUCUAAUAUUCGAAUUUCGGGCUGUACAUUGCUAAGCCGAAACUUCGAAAAAUCAUAACUUCAUACGAACUCAGAUUUGGGCGUUCUUUUUAUGGACGCUCUUAGUUUAACAUCUUCUACGACUUUUUUUUAGAUUGCCUAGGCUAAAUCCCGCUCUAUCCUAAAUUCACUAUUUACGCUUCCCGGUGUCGUGCUGGUUCCAUCGCGAAACUUCGACGGGUCAUAACUUCUUCGUUAUAACUCGGAUUUCGGCGUUCUUUAUAUGUACAGAAACCUUGUGACAUAUACUACAACUUGGUUCAUAUUAUUUAUUCUAAAUAAUCUUUUGUCGAAAAGUCGUUUUCGACACUUAUUGCCUUUUUCUUGACUAACCCGGAUCUACGGGCAUUACAAUUAUCUCGUCCUUAAGAUGAUUACGUCCGGAAUCAUCAACGAAACAGGACUCUUAUAAUGACUCCGUACGUCAUCUCUUCAUCCUAGGUAAUAAUUAUAACUUCUAUAUUCCGGAAUGGAUUAUGCCUUCCUUCAUGGUCUAAUGUGAUAUAAUCACAUUUUAUCAUGUAGCAUUUCUAGCUACCAACUUCUUUAUCAAUCAAGCGUGAUACUUCUAUUGAUCGCUUUGAUUUCAAUCGUUUGGUUUAAGUCGGAUGCUACAUCAAACUUGGUUCUCUGAACCACGUAACCUACUCAUCAUAGUCGGACUCAAUGUGAUAUGACCACUAGGGUCGAAAUAUCAACAAUCUUCUUAGUCAUUACCGAAACGAUGGUAACAACACACUUGAAUAAAACGAAAUCAAUUACUAGUUUCUUAGUAACCUCGUGACUUCCCCUGAUCCAAGCAUGAGUCCUGUGCUUCCGGUAGUAUAUGCAUCUACUACUUUUCACACCUACUCAUACUCGUCCCAAGUAUUGUCUCGCAGUUUUCCAAGUCACCAUACAAGAAAAUCACAUAACAGUUUAACACAUCAGAUAGCAAAACGAAGGUUUUAUUAUUUCUUGAAACUAUUACAUAGGUGUUCAAGUUCACCCUAGAUUAUGCCUCUAAUAGGCUACAUCAUAUGAUAUCAUGGCUACUGCAUAACUUGAUCUUCGGAUAUGAAGUCCUCAUCUUUGAUUCCUCGCAUGGUUUUCUGCUUCGUCGAGGAUCAUGUGAAACGCCCUUGGCCUCGGUGGCGUUUCUGGUCUUGCUGCUUUAUUUUUCCUUGGGCAGUCUCUAGACAUGUGCCCCUUGCCUCCACAUCCGCAGCAUACUUUAUCAUUAUGUGUGCAGUCCUUGGAACAGUGACCAAUCCUUCCACACUUGUAACAAGUCACUUCUCCGUUGCACUUCCCACAAUGCUUCUUCUUGCAUUUAUCACACCAUCUCGCUUCAUCUCCAUCUCGUACUCCAAGCUUUGAGAAUUUGCUUUCCUUGUUGGACCUUGAAGAUCCUUCAAACUUCCGCUUCUCUUCUACCUUAUCUUUUUCUAGACCCUUUUCUCUUAACUGGGCCUCUACGUUCUUAGCUGCCCUAACAGUUGUUUUCAAGGUAGUUGCCGUUUUGACCAUUGGGCCAAAGUCAGUGGGUAAUCCGUUAGCAAACCUAUCAAUCUUGGAGAGUUCAGUAGGCACCAAGUAGGGGAAUAGAUUCAUCCUCUCGGUGAAUGCGGUGGCAUACUCAUCAACACUCAUCUUCCCUUUCUUUAGGUUCUGAAACUCGUUGUUUAGGUGUAUCAGAUCUAUCUUCGAGCAGUAAUGCAUUUUCAACUGUUCCAAGAACUCUUCCCAUGACAUCCUUAAGGCUUCUCCUCGUGGCAUCAUAUCUGUCAAUAGCUUCCACCAGCUCAAGACUCCAGUUUUCAGUUGUCUUACAGCGAAGACGGUCUUCUGUUUCUCGCUACAGUCGCAGCUCUCAAACACCAUUUCCAUCUCGGAGAUCCAAUCCAUGAUCUCAACAGGCUUUGGGCUUCCUGAGAGACUUGGUGGUUUCGCACCCAAGAAAUUCUUGUACAUUCGCCCAUCCUUGUCGUUUCUCCUCUCCGGGCCAUCCCUUUGAUCACCUUGAGUCCCCACUUGACUCACUUGGCGGCUGUAGUUCCCUUCCUCCGAUUGCUCGGGAAUCAGCUCGGGUUGCUCAGCGGGCAUAGUAGGUUCGUCCCUAUUCGACAUCCGCCUCAUUUCUUCCCUUUGUUCAGCUAGCAUAGCCCGAAUCAUGGCUUGAACUCCAGCCAUGGUGACUGACUCAGGUGCAACUUCUUCUACAACAGGUAUUUGCUGAACCACUGGGGGUUGGUUCCUAUUCUCAUUUGCAUUCACGUUUCCGCUACGGUUCCUUUCCAUCUUGAUCUAUACACCGAAUAAGGUGAAUCUAGACCUUUACUUAGGAUUGAUGUUUAAAUCAUCCUUGUCACUCCCAAACGUUUACAUGCUAGUUCUAAUAUCGUAGUCGUACGUUUAGAAUCCUAAACACGUAAGGUUCCCAGAUCCGAUCGGCAACAGACCAUAGAUCCGAAUAAAUAACAGCAUAUAAGGCAUAAAGCAUUUAGCACAUAAAAGCAUUUUAGACAUAAUUCCUAAAAUAAGCUAGUGCACACACCUCACAAUCAUCACUUAGCAUUCUAAGUUUAAGUCUAGAAAUAAAUCCAUAUUCCUAGUUCGCUUAAACUAAUAAUCUGAUACCAACUGUGACAUCCCCAAUUUUCACGGCCAAAAAAGAUCGAUUUUGUUUAUGCUUUGUAAAACCAGAGUACUUCAUUUCAUCAAAAAUGUUGCGGAAUUUGUUCCUAGAAAAACACGAUAAAUACGUUAUCAAAACAUUUUCGAAGAAACGUAUUUUGUUCAUUUUAAAAUGUUUAGGAUGUCAUCGUCAAUAUAGAAACAUAAGCAUAAACGGAACUUACAUUUAUUUACACUAGUGAUCUACAUCUCUUUAAUCUCUCAGUGUAAUGUGACUUCAUAUCAACACCUGUCAUAUAAACAAACUGAGUGGGUUAGGUUGGGAAACCUAGUGAGUACACAAGAUUUUCAACCCACAAUAAUAUAAUUAUUAUGUUUAAACAAUCAAACAAUCAACCCGAUUACCCAUCUCACUUAUCUUCUUUACUCUUAAGGAUUUAUCCUAAGAGUCAUCUAUCAUGCAUUCAUUUAUUCCGAAGUCCCUUACUUCCAGGGUUAUAGGACUGGCACUAAAUCCAUAGCUGCCAAUGUUCGUUCGUAAAGCACUAAUCCCAUAGCUGCUAUAGUCUAUUCAUCGGGUACUAAAUCCAUAUCUACCAAUGUUUAUCUAAUAGGUACUAAGUCCAUAGCUACCAAUUCCUAACAGGUACUAAAUCCAUAGCUACCAGUGUUUGUCCAAUAGGCACUAAGUCCAUAGUUGCCGAUGUUUAUUAGGCACUAAGUCUAUAGCUGCCAAUGUUUACUCACAUCAUCUUUUAUCUCUCAUCAUUCAUCUACCCAUGUCAUACCCAACAUAUUCGUAUAAAAUACGUAUACAGUUUAAAUCAUUUAAAACAUGUAUAAAACGUUCAUCCAGCAUAGACAGCAAGUAUUCAGAUAAUAUGCACACAUAGCACGUAGUUUAUAUAAAAUACUUCAUAUCUAUGUGUAAGAUGAAAGGGACUAUGCACUCACCUGAAAGGUGGUGACUCGACACUUGGACAACGCUUCGAUACUCCCGAAACGAUUUCCUUCGAUAAAACCUAGUAUCAAUACCACUAGGGUUUAGUCUAACGAUAACCGUGACAAAUUAAUAGUCUGACUAUUAUUAUUAUUAUUAUAUAAGCGUUAAAUAACACUCAAUAUAACUC
Molecule: non-coding RNA, 11394 nt
Organism: Lactuca sativa (garden lettuce)
Lineage: Eukaryota; Viridiplantae; Streptophyta; Magnoliopsida; Asterales; Asteraceae
Source: RefSeq, a predicted model, not a curated record